AUGUUGCACAUACCUUUAACCCAGCCAGCAGCCAGGUUACAUUUUACUAUAUUCACCACCAAUUCCCUUUUCUGUUUCUCGCCAGACUAUACAAGCCCUGAAAGCAAGAACGGGGUUCACGGCAUCUUGAUACCCCCAUAUGGGGACGUUUUGGCGAUUUUAUUUAUAAGAAAGGGAUUUUACACCGGAGAGGCUUUUAAAUCUACUAACAGACUGGACCAGCUUUCUCAUCCCCACUGGCUGAUUAAUGAUUCCUCCAUGCCAACCCGGUUCUCAGAGACACCAAGUCCAGUGCCCUUGAUCCUUAAGAAGUGGCCUCCAGUGCUUAGAAUUCCAAGCAUUUGGUCCUUUGGAGAUGAGAAACCAUGGGAAGGCAGGGGCUUAUUCACCCCUGUAUCCAAAAAGUUGAGGAUGGUGCCAGGGACACAGAUGUUACCAGGGACUCCAAAAAUACUGAAUGAAAGGACAGUGGAGGUGCUUUCCUGUGGGAUCUUCCAACCUCUUCCCGCCUUCAGAGGUCAGCGAAGCAGGGUAUCACCGAAGUCCCACCUGAUGUCACUGGAACUAGUGCUCCAUGUCUUCACCAGGCCCAUGCCAGCCGUGAGGGGCAGAACCAGGUUUUCUGACACCAAACCCCAGGUUUCUUCCUGUGCUGACAUGGAUCCUUUUUCUGACUUGGCCAGCAGCCUCUCAUAGAUGGGGGACUGAUUAAAUAGUUCUGGUGAUGGGUGGGGUGAUGGUUGCACAACAAUAUGAAUGGAUUUAAUGCCACUGAACUGUACACCUGAAAAUGGUUAAAAUGCUACAUUUUAUGUUAUGAAUAUUUCACCGCAAUAAAAAAAUUCAUAACAUUUUAUGUUAUGAAUAUUUCACCGCAAUAAAUUUGCAGAAACAAAUAUGGGUCUGUCUUUCUCACAUGUCAAGAAGUCAAGAAAUCUGGGGUGGGUAGAUACAGUGGUUAGUUCAGCUGCUCCAUGAUGCCAUGAGGGUCUGGAGUCUUGCUUUUUGCUUUUUUCUUUUCUUUCUUUUUUUUUUUUUUUGAGACAAAGUCUCGCUCUGUUGCCCAAGCUGGAGUGCAAUUGUGUGAUCUCUGCUUACUGCAACCUUUGCCUCCUGGGUUCGAGCGAUUCUCCUGCCUCAGCCUCUCGAGUAGCUGGGAUUAUAGGAGUGUACCACCAUGCCCAGCUAAUUUUUGUAUUUUUUUUGGUAGAGACGGGGCUUCACCAUGUUGACCAGGCUGGUGUCAAACUCCUGACCUCAGGUGAUCUGCCCACCUCGGCCUCCCAAAAUGCUGGGAUUACAGGCAUGAGC
This 1311-nucleotide long non-coding RNA is filed under the name Macaca mulatta (Rhesus monkey). RNAcentral's name for it is "lncRNA (ENSMMUG00000040707.2)". The record is from RNAcentral. Lineage: Eukaryota; Metazoa; Chordata; Mammalia; Primates; Cercopithecidae.